UCCUGAGUAGCUGGGAUUACAGGCGUAUACCACCAAGCUCAGCUCAGUUUGGUAUUUUUAGUAGAGAUGGGAUUUCGCCAUGUUGGCCUGGCUGGUCUCUAACUCCUGACCUCAGGUGAUCCACCCGCCCCGGCCUCCCAAACUGUUGGGAUUACAGG
Molecule: long non-coding RNA, 158 nt
Organism: Sapajus apella (tufted capuchin)
Lineage: Eukaryota; Metazoa; Chordata; Mammalia; Primates; Cebidae
Exons: 3
Source: RefSeq, a predicted model, not a curated record